GCUCGUUCGUGAACNAGCCUGAUAGUACCGUAAGAAUAAGCNUCGGCUAACUCCGUGCCAGCAGCCGCGGUNAUACGGAGGAUGCAAGCGUUAUCCGGAUUCAUUGGGUUUAAAGGGUGCGUAGGCGGUCUUAUAAGUCAGUGGUGAAAGCCUACAGCUUAACUGUAGAAUUGCCAUUGAUACUGUAGGACUAGAGUACAGACGACGUUGGCGGAAUAUGACAUGUAGCGGUGAAAUGCUUAGAUAUGUCAUAGAACACCGAUUGCGAAGGCAGCUGACGAGACUGUAACUGACGCUGAGGCACGAAAGUGUGGGGAUCAAACANGGAUUAGAUACCCUGGUAGNCCACACUGUAAACGAUGAUAACUUGCUGUUUGCGAUAUACAGUAAGCGNCAAAGCGAANGCGAUAAGUUNUCCACCU
Molecule: ribosomal RNA, 422 nt
Filed under: uncultured bacterium
Lineage: Bacteria
Description: bacterial SSU rRNA
Rfam family: Bacterial small subunit ribosomal RNA
Source: RNAcentral